GAGAGAGUGACGCAGGGAGAAGAAAGGGGAAGCGAGAGAAUCCCGAAAAGAAACAGGGAAUAGACGUAAAGCACAGAAGCAGAGAGGUAUAGAGCUAGCCACAUGAUUUGAGACACAGUCUUCACUGAACUUGGAGUUCAUUGACUCAACCAUACUGCCUGGCCAACGAGCUCCAGAGGUUUGUCUGUCUCUGCUCAUCUAACAACGUGGUAAAAGAUGUACACAGAGUCUGGCUUUUGCAUUGGUGCUGAAGUUUUGGACUCUGGUCCUCAUGCUUCUGUGGCAGUCACUUUAAUGACUGAGCCAUCUGUGCAGCCUGUUAAGAGUGUUUUUGAACGAACAAGUCACUGGAAGAUGUGGAGCCUAGCUAAGGAAGGGGAAACAUGGUUGGAGAAGCUGGUAGCGAAUGAGCCUUCAGUGAUGUUCCUGCUAUGUUCCAGGCCCUGUGUUCACACUAUCCAUGUGUUAUCAAUUGUACAUGAACAUUUUGAGAUAGCUAAGGUUAUUUUAUUUUCCAUGAUGCCUUUGUUUUCCUAGUUGCAGAGCCAAGGAAUAAAACAGGAAUUAUACAAACAGUA
This is a long non-coding RNA of Grammomys surdaster, 578 nucleotides long. RefSeq lists it as uncharacterized. The transcript has 2 exons. The record is from RefSeq and is a predicted model, not a curated record. Lineage: Eukaryota; Metazoa; Chordata; Mammalia; Rodentia; Muridae.